RNAcentral lists this long non-coding RNA (425 nucleotides) under Taeniopygia guttata (zebra finch). Its description in RNAcentral is "lncRNA (ENSTGUG00000026498.1)". Lineage: Eukaryota; Metazoa; Chordata; Aves; Passeriformes; Estrildidae. The record is from RNAcentral.
CAGACCCUGCUUGAUGCUGCUGCUGCUCCUGGGUUUAUCAGUGCUGCGGCUUUGCCCAGAAAGAAUCAGCUUUAUCAAGGUUCUCUGACCUCAAAGAAAAACAGAAAUUAUGUUGAAGAUGAUAUAAGAAUUGUCCAUGGGACCUACCUUCUCAGGAUCUCAUUAAAUCAUGGUGGGUGAUUCUCCUGUUUUUGCGUAUCCUUUACAUCAUGUUUUCCAUGAAGGGCUGUAGGUGGUCUUUGGAGAAGACAUGGAAGAGGAGAGACACACAAAUGGGAACAGACUGGGAUGUUGUUCUGCACCUGGGCCAGCGUGAUUUCCUUGCAUGGGACAGACAGAUCCAGGCUUUUCUCAGCAGCUCAGAAGAGUAUAGUAGUUUUGAGAUGCAGUCCAAUAACGCGGCACAAUGUAAGAACACGAGACUG